CUCCACUGAUUCUCAUUUUCUCUCUCUUUUUCUCUUUCUUUUUCUCUUUCUCUUUCUCUCUCACAUAGACGCACACACGAUGCCCAACUCAGAGGAGAAUAAGUGACGCGUCGCAACACGAAAUAUGCCCUGAAACGAACAUUCUCACUUUCAAUCAUCAGCAAAAUACUGUUUUUUAUUGCUGAAUCGUGGUAUGCUAUUUGUUUGAAUCCUGUGGGUCAUUCGCUUGCUCAAACGUGUGACUAGAUACGAGUGGGCAGAAUUACUGUGCGGAGUGGCUAAUUUACCUCAAGAAACUCCAAAGUAUCUUUAUCGUCUGAUACACAUCGAAAUAAUAACACACAGAACAUACCCUUUAUAUUUAUUGUGCAGGAACUGUCGACUGCUUUAUUAAUACAUUGAAGAGCAGAACAUUCAGUCAACAGAGAUGCCGAUCUCAGUAAACUUACAGUGGAAGAGAAUUGGUUCAAUGACGCCUGCAGUUUGGAGCUGUCAUUUAAUGCAGCGGUUUUAAACUUUUUAAUCUCAGGACCCAAAUAAGCUGCGGUGGGUUGGCACCCUACCUGGAAUUUGUUCCUGCCUUGCACGGUGUGCGGGCUGGGAUUGGCUCCAGCAGACCCCUGUGUUAGGAUAUAGAGGGUUGGAAAAUCGAUGACUGACUGACCCAAAUAAGAAAGUCUACACAUGGACCCAAGAAGAGUAUUACUACCGAAACGACAGCAGAGCUAUAAAUAGAGUACUACUAAUAAUGACUAUUUUUUUUAUUUCAAGAAUAAAUCGUUUUGUUAAUGAAACAAUAAUUAUACUUCUAAACAGAGAAUAUAUUCCUGUUGUCUAUCAGUGUUAGUAUAAAUGCUUAGGCUUUAGCAAAGCUAAGAGAAAAAUGUGGGGUGCAGAUCUGACGAUUUUGAAAGGACAAUAUGAAUAGUCAUUUAACUUAGUCGCUUUAGUAAUGGCGCCAGAUAUGGAAUAAAAUAAUCCAAAAAUACUUAAUUAUAGCAGUUUAUCAUCUUUGUCUUAAAUAGCAUUUUUUUUAAAUAACAUUUUUCAAAAGAGUGCCGCCAUUAAUAUGGCGGUAUCUGUAAAUGCGUUUGCAAAAAGUUCAGCAUAUCCCGGUUUACAUUGAAAAAUUCAAUAAACCGAGUAGGGCGGCACGGUGGCGCAGUGGUAGCGCUGCUGCCUCGCAGUUAGGGGACCCGGGUUCGCUUCCCGGGUCCU
This is a long non-coding RNA of Polypterus senegalus (gray bichir), 1218 nucleotides long. RefSeq lists it as uncharacterized. The record is from RefSeq and is a predicted model, not a curated record. NCBI's taxonomy places the organism in Eukaryota, Metazoa, Chordata, Cladistia, Polypteriformes, Polypteridae. The transcript is spliced from 4 exons.